This is a non-coding RNA of Pelobates cultripes (western spadefoot toad), 252 nucleotides long. Lineage: Eukaryota; Metazoa; Chordata; Amphibia; Anura; Pelobatidae. The record is from the annotation of a GenBank genome assembly.
GGGUGUGACUAGUGACAGAGAGAGGGAGUGGGUGACUAGUGACAGAGUGAGGGAGGUGGUGAUUAGUGACAGAGGGAGGGAUGGGGUGACUAGUGACAGUCACCACCUCCUUCACUCUGUCACUAGUCACCCCCUCCCUCACUCUGUCAUUGUGUCACCCCCUCCCUCACUCUGUCAUUGUGUCACCCACUCCCUCCCUCACUCUGUCACUAGUCACCCCCUCUCUCACUCUGUCACUAGUCAUCACCUUCC